GAUGAAGAACGGAGCGAAAUGCGAUAAGUAAUGUGAAUUGCAGAAUUCAGUGAAUCAUCGAAUCUUUGAACGCACAUUGCGCCCGCCAGUAUUCUGGCGGGCAUGCCUGUUCGAGCGUCAUUUCAACCAUCAAGCCCCGGGCUUGUGUUGGGGACCUGCGGCUGCCGCAGGCCCUGAAAUGCAGUGGCGGGCUCGCUGUCACUCCGAGCGUAGUAGUUACAUCUCGCUCUGGGCGUGCUGCGGGUUCCGGCCGUUAAAAGCCUUAUUUACCCAAGGUUGACCUCGGAUCAGGUAGGAAGACCCGCUGAACUUAAGCAUAUCAAUAAGCGGAGGA
This 334-nucleotide unclassified non-coding RNA is filed under the name soil metagenome. Its description in RNAcentral is "partial contains 5.8S ribosomal RNA, internal transcribed spacer 2, and large subunit ribosomal RNA". The stretch from base 1 to 120 matches the Rfam family "5.8S ribosomal RNA", at positions 35 to 154 of the family's 154-position model. The record is from RNAcentral.